AUUGAACGCUGGCGGCAGGCCUAACACAUGCAAGUCGAGCGGAUGAAGGGAGCUUGCUCCUGGAUUCAGCGGCGGACGGGUGAGUAAUGCCUAGGAAUCUGCCUGGUAGUGGGGGAUAACGUCCGGAAACGGGCGCUAAUACCGCAUACGUCCUGAGGGAGAAAGGGGGGGAUCUUCGGACCUCACGCUAUCAGAUGAGCCUAGGUCGGAUUAGCUAGUUGGUGGGGUAAAGGCCUACCAAAGCGACGAUCCGUAACUGGUCUGAGAGGAUGAUCAGUCACACUGGAACUGAGACACGGUCCAGACUCCUACGGGAGGCAGCAGUGGGGAAUAUUGCGCAAUGGGCGAAAGCCUGAUGCAGCCACGCCGCGUGUGUGAAGAAGGUCUUCGGAUUGUAAAGCUCUUUAAGUUGGGAGGAAGAAAAGUAAAUUAAUACAUGGCUGUUUUGACGUUACCAACAGAGUAAGCCACGGCUAACUUCGUG
This 484-nucleotide ribosomal RNA is filed under the name uncultured bacterium. RNAcentral describes it as "partial 16S ribosomal RNA". It matches the Rfam family "Bacterial small subunit ribosomal RNA", at positions 30 to 507 of the family's 1533-position model. The record is from RNAcentral.